GAUAAAAUCUAGCAAAGCCCAAUGAAAGAUCGCUCCAGGGUCUCCAAUGAGGUAGAUAGUAGCUCAGGACUGCUCUCUAGUUGUUGAUAGGAUGGUUUAGGUGCCUCAUAACAGCUGAAUCGAGAGGAAUUUCUUUA
Amblyraja radiata (thorny skate) is the source of this 137-nucleotide long non-coding RNA. RefSeq lists it as uncharacterized. The transcript has 4 exons. Lineage: Eukaryota; Metazoa; Chordata; Chondrichthyes; Rajiformes; Rajidae. The record is from RefSeq and is a predicted model, not a curated record.